CCUACGGGUGGCAGCAGUGGGGAAUAUUGGACAAUGGGGGCAACCCUGAUCCAGCCAUGCCGCGUGUGUGAAGAAGGCCCUCGGGUUGUAAAGCACUUUCAGUGACGAAGAACGCCUGGUGGUUAAUACCCAUCAGGAAAGACAUCACUCACAGAAGAAGCACCGGCUAACUCCGUGCCAGCAGCCGCGGUAAUACGGAGGGUGCGAGCGUUAAUCGGAAUUACUGGGCGUAAAGCGCGCGUAGGUGGCUUGAUAAGCCGGUUGUGAAAGCCCCGGGCUCAACCUGGGAACGGCAUCCGGAACUGUCAAGCUAGAGUGCAGGAGAGGAAGGUAGAAUUCCCGGUGUAGCGGUGAAAUGCGUAGAGAUCGGGAGGAAUACCAGUGGCGAAGGCGGCCUUCUGGACUGACACUGACACUGAGGUGCGAAAGCGUGGGUAGCAAACAGGAUUAGAUACCCCUGUAGUC
This 465-nucleotide ribosomal RNA is filed under the name Vreelandella stevensii. RNAcentral's name for it is "partial 16S ribosomal RNA". It matches the Rfam family "Bacterial small subunit ribosomal RNA", at positions 338 to 795 of the family's 1533-position model. The record is from RNAcentral. Lineage: Bacteria; Pseudomonadati; Pseudomonadota; Gammaproteobacteria; Oceanospirillales; Halomonadaceae.